GUCCUCAGAUCAGGCAAGACUACCCGCCGAAUUUAAGCAUAUUACUAAGCGGAGGAAAAGAAACUAACCAGGAUUCCCCUAGUAACGGCGAGCGAACCGGGAAAAGCCCAACUUGUAAAUCUGGCGGUAUUGCCGUCCGAAUUGUAGUCUAAAGAAGCGUAUUCUGUGGCGGACA
This 175-nucleotide ribosomal RNA is filed under the name Pyramimonas parkeae. Its description in RNAcentral is "partial Eukaryotic large subunit ribosomal RNA". It matches the Rfam family "Eukaryotic large subunit ribosomal RNA", at positions 1 to 176 of the family's 3401-position model. The record is from RNAcentral. Lineage: Eukaryota; Viridiplantae; Chlorophyta; Pyramimonadophyceae; Pyramimonadales; Pyramimonadaceae.